AUCCUUUUGUAGUUCAUUAGCAUGAUGAUUGGGUUUUCACACUCAGGCGUGAGAUGUGCCUCUCUCAAACCUUGUUACGAUGUUGGCACAUUACCUAUCUGGCA
Molecule: small nucleolar RNA, 104 nt
Organism: Nomascus leucogenys (northern white-cheeked gibbon)
Lineage: Eukaryota; Metazoa; Chordata; Mammalia; Primates; Hylobatidae
Source: Ensembl